Molecule: long non-coding RNA, 256 nt
Filed under: Ictidomys tridecemlineatus (thirteen-lined ground squirrel)
Lineage: Eukaryota; Metazoa; Chordata; Mammalia; Rodentia; Sciuridae
Description: partial Tug1
Source: RNAcentral
CUAUUUUAUCACAAAGGCCCGGUUUUUUUCCAUGAGUGUACAUUUCAUUUCUUCAGUUAAAGCCUUCAGAGAGACACAAUAAAGUUGGACCAGGGGAUUUGUAAUUGUCAACUAUGUCAGAAGAAAGGAAACAUCUCUUUGAGAACAGCAUUAGACCAUGCCCCCCCAAUCUCAAAUGAUUGAAGUUCAUGAACUAACUAUCUUGAUGGAAUCCCAUCAAGGUCACUGGACCCUGUUCUUUUUUCUACGUCAAAUC